AGAGUUUGAUCCUGGCUCAGAACGAACGCUGGCGGCGUGCUUAACACAUGCAAGUCGAACGAGAAAUUUUUCCUUCGGGAAAGAGAGUAAAGUGGCGCACGGGUGAGUAACGCGUAGAUAAUCUACCCUGGUGUCUGGGAUAACAUCGCGAAAGCGUUGCUAAUACCGGAUACGCUCCUUCGGGAGGAAAGGUGGCCUCUUCUUGAAAGCUAUCGCAUUGGGAUGAGUCUGCGUACCAUUAGCUAGUUGGUGGGGUAAGAGCCUACCAAGGCUACGAUGGUUAGCGGGUCUGAGAGGAUGAUCCGCCACACUGGAACUGGAACACGGACCAGACUCCUACGGGAGGCAGCAGUGAGGAAUUUUGCGCAAUGGGGAAACCCUGACGCAGCGACGCCGCGUGGGUGAUGAAGGCUUUCGAGUCGUAAAGCCCUGUCAAGUGGGAAGAAGUGUGUAUACGUUAAUACCGUAUGCAUUUGACGGUACCACUAAAGGAAGCACCGGCUAACUCCGUGCCAGCAGCCGCGGUAAUACGGAGGGUGCAAGCGUUGUUCGGAAUUACUGGGCGUAAAGGGCGCGUAGGCGGCGUAACAAGUCAGGUGUGAAAGUCCAGGGCUUAACCCUGGAAGUGUAUCUG
This 634-nucleotide ribosomal RNA is filed under the name uncultured bacterium. RNAcentral describes it as "bacterial SSU rRNA". It matches the Rfam family "Bacterial small subunit ribosomal RNA", at positions 8 to 629 of the family's 1533-position model. The record is from RNAcentral.